UGAGGAACAUGACCUUCGGCGGGGGAUAGCCGGCCCAACGGCCGGGUAAUACCGCGUACGACCACAUGGGGACAUCCCUGAGUGGUGAAAGCAGCAAUGCGCCGAUGGAGUGCCUCGCGGCCUAUCAGCUAGUUGGUGAGGUAACGGCUCACCAAGGCGACGACGGGUAGCUGGUCUGAGAGGAUGGCCAGCCACAUUGGGACUGAGACACGGCCCAGACCUGUACGGGAG
This 231-nucleotide ribosomal RNA is filed under the name uncultured bacterium. RNAcentral describes it as "partial 16S ribosomal RNA". It matches the Rfam family "Bacterial small subunit ribosomal RNA", at positions 118 to 347 of the family's 1533-position model. The record is from RNAcentral.